GGCUGUGAGGAUGAUCUGGCUGUGAUAUAUGUCACCCCAUUGAUCACCAGGGUUGAUUCAGCUGAUCUAGCUGGCUAGGUGGGUGUCCCCAUUGUCCCUCACCACUCUGUGUGUGACCCUCUGGAAGCUGCAUGCUCAGUGGAACAGGACAACCACCCUCCAUAGAGGAGGACCCUUUCCUCAGUCAAGAGUGUAUGAGUCAAGGGUAUAACAGUACUCCCCUGCUAGAACUUCCAAAGAAGCUCCCAAAAAAGCAGCUUCCAGGUUGGUGGGUACUCAGGUAAUCAGGUGCUAAAUCAGUUAAGAUCCCUGAACUCUUCAGUUGCAGCCUU
Molecule: small nuclear RNA, 332 nt
Filed under: Chinchilla lanigera (long-tailed chinchilla)
Lineage: Eukaryota; Metazoa; Chordata; Mammalia; Rodentia; Chinchillidae
Description: 7SK RNA (ENSCLAG00000021833.1)
Rfam family: 7SK RNA
About the family: 7SK was discovered as an abundant small nuclear RNA in the mid-70s but a possible function has only recently been suggested. Two independent studies have found that 7SK RNA binds the CDK9/cyclin T complex (known as elongation factor P-TEFb).
Source: RNAcentral